This 499-nucleotide ribosomal RNA is filed under the name uncultured bacterium. RNAcentral describes it as "bacterial SSU rRNA". It matches the Rfam family "Bacterial small subunit ribosomal RNA", at positions 28 to 524 of the family's 1533-position model. The record is from RNAcentral.
GAUGAACGCUAGCGGCAGGCUUAAUACAUGCAAGUCGAGGGGCAGCACGGUUAGCAAUAACUGGUGGCGACCGGCGCACGGGUGCGUAACACGUAUACAAUCUACCUUAAACAGGGGGAUGGCCUUUCGAAAGAGAGAUUAAUACCCCGUAAUAAAUUGAACGGCAUCGUUUGAUUUUGAAAGCUCCGGCGGUUUGAGAUGAGUAUGCGUCUGAUUAGCUAGUUGGUGAGGUAACGGCUCACCAAGGCGACGAUCAGUAGGGGAUCUGAGAGGACUAACCCCCACACUGGUACUGAGACACGGACCAGACUCCUACGGGAGGCAGCAGUAAGGAAUAUUGGUCAAUGGAGGCAACUCUGAACCAGCCAUGCCGCGUGCAGGAUGACGGCCCUAUGGGUUGUAAACUGCUUUAUACAAGAGAAAACCCUGGUACGUGUACCAGGUUGAUAGUAUUGUAAGAAUAAGCAUCGGCUAACUUCGUGCCAGCAGCCGCGGUAAU